This 253-nucleotide ribosomal RNA is filed under the name uncultured bacterium. RNAcentral describes it as "partial 16S ribosomal RNA". It matches the Rfam family "Bacterial small subunit ribosomal RNA", at positions 524 to 776 of the family's 1533-position model. The record is from RNAcentral.
UACAGAGGGUGCGAGCGUUGUUCGGAAUUACUGGGCGUAAAGCGCGUGUAGGCGGCCGCGCAAGUCGGGCGUGAAAUCCCACGGCUCAACCGUGGAAGUGCACUCGAAACUGCGCAGCUUGAGUCCUGGAGAGGAAGGUGGAAUGCUUGGUGUAGAGGUGAAAUUCGUAGAUAUCAGGAGGAACACCGGUGGCGAAGGCGGCCUUCUGGGCCUGUUCUGACGCUGAGGAGCGAAAGCGUGGGGAGCAAACAGG